This 497-nucleotide ribosomal RNA is filed under the name uncultured bacterium. Its description in RNAcentral is "partial 16S ribosomal RNA". It matches the Rfam family "Bacterial small subunit ribosomal RNA", at positions 28 to 507 of the family's 1533-position model. The record is from RNAcentral.
GAUGAACGCUGGCGGCGUGCCUAAUACAUGCAAGUCGAGCGAACGGACGAGAAGCUUGCUUCUCUGAUGUUUUCGGCGGACGGGUGAGUAACACGUGGAUAACCUACCUAUACGACUGGGAUAACUUCGGGAAACUGUAUCUAAUACCGUAUAAUCUUUUGAACCGCAUGGUUCAAUAGUGAAAGACGGUCUUUCUGUUACUUAUAGAUGGUUCCGUGCUGCAUUAGCUAGUUGGUAAGGUAACGGCUUACCAAGGCAACGAUGCAUAGCCGACCUGAGAGGGUGAUCGGCAACACUGGAACUGGGACACGGUCCAGACUCCUAGGGGAGGCAGCAGUAGGGAAUCUUCCGAAAUGGGCGAAAGCCUGACGGAGAAACGCCGCGUGAGUGAUGAAGGUCUUCGGAUCGUAAAACUCUGUUAUUAGGGAAGAACAGAUGUGUAAGUAACUGUGCACAUCUUGACGGUACCUAAUCAGAAAGCCACGGCUAACUACGUG